GCUUGCACAAUGCACCACAGAUUUGUUCUUGUGAGUAAUUACUACGGGUUGCUUGACUUGGAGUUGGAACUCAAAAGGCUAGAUUAAUCAAUAAAUCAAGUGACCAUGGUUAAAGGCAGCAGCGGCAACAUUCAAUCAUACGAUGGAAGAUGAGAAUCUUGCCAAUAACUUGAUUGUUCACAUAGAGCGUGAAAUCGCAGAGAAGUACAUCUUUGAGGACAUUUUAGCGGAAUUCAAGAGCAUAAGUGAUCGAAAAGCUGAUCUGCAGUACCACUCCUUUUGUAGUUCUUAGUUGGCUCACAUAAUGUCUUUGGGUUUGAAGACUGAGUGGUACAAGUAGACAAGUUGUAUAUUUUGGUGUAAUUAGUUCUCUUAUGAAGUAUAUAUUGCUAAUCAUACAUGUAUUUUGCGAGCAAUUUGGGUAAUAUAAGUAUAAAUUUGCUUGGAGGCUCCAAGUUCUUGUCGGUUGCCGUUGGUUAAUUUUUUUCGUCAGUGCCCCCCCCNNNNNNNNNNUAGAUAGUAAUAGCCCGUGUAAGAGCAAAAGGCCACAAGCCCAUCUUGGCAUCUUUGGCAUUAUCACGAUUCACGAACACGGCCACCAGCCUGCUCGGGGCUCGGCUGCUUCAUGUCUCUUUCCCCACGCUCGCCGCUUAGGCACGGUGGCUCGCCUCAUUGCUCCAUCCACGCCGUCGCUCUGCCUCGACACCGACGCCGAGGAGGCAAGGAGAAACUUGCCACCGAUCCACGCGCGCCGAGGAUGGAGGUCGUGAGGGGGGAACUAGGGCGCACCUGAAACGUCUGUUUUCUUCUCCUCGCCACUGGCCGGUCGCCGGUGGUCGUCGAUGUCCGCCGGCCGGCAGUCCAUCGGCUGGUCGCUGGCCGCUGGCCGCCCCCCUACACAAAUUUCUGUAAGUACCAUCUACCCAGCUCAAAUUACAACCUGAAACCAAUGGAUCCCCUUUUGUAGUGUUGCCUUGCUUGUACGAGUAAAUUGGGGGUAGCACGCCUGUAUGAGUACUGCUGAUUAGUACUUUAGCAGUUACUCCACAGGUUGGGGGAAGCACACCUGUACAAGUAGUAAUUUAGUAUGCUAUUUAUUUGAUCUAAUUGCAAAUAUCUUGUUGCUUGCACAAUGCACCACAGAUUUGUUCUUGUGAGUAAUUACUACGGGUUGCUUGACUUGGAGUUGGAACUCAAAAGGCUAGAUUAAUCAAUAAAUCAAGUGACCAUGGUUAAAGGCAGCAGCGGCAACAUUCAAUCAUACGAUGGAAGAUGAGAAUCUUGCCAAUACCUUGGUUGUUCACAUAGAGCGUGAAAUCGCAGAGAAGUACACCUUUGAGGACAUUUUAGCGGAAUUCAAGAGCAUAAGUGAUCGAAAAGCUGAUCUGUAGUACCAC
RNAcentral lists this long non-coding RNA (1397 nucleotides) under Triticum aestivum (bread wheat). Its description in RNAcentral is "long non-coding RNA (TAES_LNC019941)". The record is from RNAcentral. Lineage: Eukaryota; Viridiplantae; Streptophyta; Magnoliopsida; Poales; Poaceae.